RNAcentral lists this long non-coding RNA (3838 nucleotides) under Populus tremula. Its description in RNAcentral is "long non-coding RNA (PTRE_LNC000420)". Lineage: Eukaryota; Viridiplantae; Streptophyta; Magnoliopsida; Malpighiales; Salicaceae. The record is from RNAcentral.
CGUUCGAAGUUUUCCUGCUUCCACAGUUUAAGCAUUUCGAUGGCAGCUUCUCCCUCAGGUGUAACCUCGUGCCAUCAUCAGCUGUUAAGGUACGCUGGAGCUUUAAACAGCUGGGAUGGUAAUCGUGUGGGUUCUUAUGUUUGCACUGGUACACGAACCCUAAGGACAUCUUGUCCACAAGCAUCACAGAAUCUUCCACCCUCUUGCGGGGCUCUGGAGUGAAAUCUCAAGCUGCACUUCGAAAAUGAAUGGAAGGCAGAUGGAGAAGCAUUUGCGCAUUCCUCGUGAAGAUAGAAGCUGCAGUCUUCGUGCUCGCAUUCGUAGCAUGGGCCAAGCCCCAGUCCUUUGCAUCCGUCACAUUCAUAAGGCUCUCGUGGAUGCUUCAACAAGAGAAAAUGUUCGCUAUCAUGACUGGAAUGUUUAAUCUUGGUUAAUCCCAUAUCUGUUGAAGCAAAACAAUUAUAAAGUUGCUCAGGUAAUCUCAAGCAAGGGCGUAUAAAACAUGUAACCACACCAUUUUGAUCAGAUAUUGAAAUCUUCCUACCCAGGAAAAUUAUAAACACGUAUAGUGUGUGUGAAAUUCAAUAGACCCAAACCGAAAAUAGAGAAGAUUGAUCACUAAAUAAUAUAUUAUGUUUUUAUCGGAAAUUAAGCUAUAUUUAAAAGAGAAGUUGUUUCCAGAUUGAAAUGAAAAGAGGAGAAAGAAAGAAAAAUACGUAGUCUACCCAUUCAACGACAAAGAUAUUGUUUAUGAAUUAAGAGAGCGAGUGUGUGCGCGUGUGUUUGAGAGUAUGCUAACACAUGAUAUUCAUCUUGUGAUCACCAGACACCUGGCAUGUAUGCCUUUUUCGGAGAUGUUAUCCUCGGGAAAAGAAAGGGGGAAGCGGAGGUGGAAUUAGGGAUGCAGAGUGCGAAAUCAUUAAACCACUCGUUAUAUAGCAAGAAUCAUACAUGGAUUGAUUUCACUAAAUGCGAAGACCAUAAAAAUAUAUUAAAAAAACGAACAUGAAUUAUUAAUCGUAAUAAAUAAAUAGCAAGCAGAUAAAAUAUUAUCUUACCGAAAUGUUUCCGCUAGGAUCUCUGAAUUAGUCUUGGCUCCACGGCAGGCUUUAUAAACCACGAGCACCUCUUCGAUACCCAAGAUGAUGUGCGUUUAUGUAUGUACAUAGGAGCAGUUUGGCUUUUGAUUCGAAGUGAAGAGCCUCUCUUAAUGCAUGUGGUUUAUAUAGAUAGGUAAUUAACCGACCUAGAAAGGAAACAUCCUGGAAAUGGAGGGUGGUUUUUUUGGUGGCGUGGAUCGUAGCUACUGAGAAACUAUUUUGAGCUCGAGUAUAUUGCGUGUUUUUUGGUCAAUCAAUUUUUUAUUACAUUAAUUCAAUUUACAGAUUAAUUAACAUUUAUAAAUUUAAGCUUUGAUUCCAUUUUAUUUGGUUGCUUUUUAACACAGCGGAAAUUUAUAUUUAACGAAAAAAUCGAACCGCGCAUGCGUGCACAGCAAUGUAGUGUGUUUAUUAAUGGUUCCUUCCUGGUAUUUUACCUGAUCAUAAGGAGAUGGGCCAGCCUAAUAUCUUACGACAUUGGCGUUGAUCUAUUCCAUUACGCGAAGAUGUUUAUUCGAACAAGUAAAAUAUUAAUGAAAGGGAAAGAAUGACCUGUCUUGCAAGUUGUGUGUAAUUUAAUUAAUUAUUUAUACCCGAGAUCUUAUAAGAAUUCUGAAAUUAAAUGUGUUUCCGCUAGAACAGUAUUAAAUGAGUGAUCUGAAAAUUAUUAUCCAUGUCAACUAACACGCAAGUGUGUAAUAACUGAAGAAAAAAGCACUUUUUUCUGCACUUUACACUUGUACGAAAGGAGGAGUCAUAGUUUUCAAUUGUUAUUUUUCAAGGAAAAGAACCUUGCUUGUCUUGUUAUUGCUGGACGUUGCACUCAACUAAAUAUCAAUCACAGGGAAGCCAUGCCUUGGGGGGUUAAAUUAGCUUAUAUAUAAAGCAAGUGUUGACUGGUGAGUCACGAGUUGGAGGGUUGGGAGGCAGGCUCACAUACGCAAUUCAAUGCAAGCUGAUUUGCCUCCAUCCAGGAAUUUCGGAUGGUCAAAUCAUGUGAUGAUAUAUACCACAUCAGAUGAUAGAAUUAAGUGAUUAAGUAAAGCCUGCUGUGACUAAGAUUGGCUUCGGUUUUUCUUUAACUGUCCAUUUUGUCCGCAGUAAUUUGUAUUACUAAAUCUAAUGUUUUUUUUUUUACAGUAUUUAAAUAUUGGUCUGAUAUUUUACUUAAUUUAAGGUUGUCUUUUGAUUUUUUUUAUUGUUUCUUGUAUUGUUGUAUAUAUGAUCUUUCAUAGACUUUUAAUUGUGUUCAAUAAAUGUUUUACACAGAUCACUAAAAAAUUAGCUUUCAAAUCUCCUAUUUGUUGAAAGAAAUACCGAGUGAGAGAUCAAAGUGAUAGCGUUAUUUAUUGGUGGAUUAUGGAAAGAGAGUCUAUCAAUUGUUUGUACACUUGUAAAAUAGUUUUUAUAUUUUGAAUCUAAAUCCUAAAUAUUUAGUUUUAAGUCAAAUUUUCAUUGUAUAUUUUUAGAGCACCGGGCCUUAAUACGACAUGUAUGUCCGUUUCUAUCUAUAUUUCCAAAGAAUCUCCUUAUAUAUUAGUUGACUUUUGAUCUAAAAGUAGAAGUUUUUUUAAUUUAGUUUAAUGAGUUUCAUAUUUUUUAUUAAAAAAAAAAGCCGAUUGUGUUGCCUAACAACUCUAAGCAUUUCUACCCAUGUCGUCAGAUGGAAUAUUCGAUGCAUACUUAAUCCUACCCCUAUUUGGAAAGCAUAAAUUACAAGUAAAAUCACUAUAAUAUUGCAGGGCACCACUUGACGAACAAAUUAUAUAAUACUAUGCUUGAUUAUUGAUUUGCAUGUCUCUUGUGCACGGCAAAUACAUGAUGAUAUUUAUAAUUUUAAGCAGCAGUACUGUCUAUUUUCUCAUGAACGGCAUGCAAUCAAGAUUGAUUCGAUUAAAUAUUUUCAAAGAGUGGAGUAUUAUUUGAUUAACUACAUUAAACAUUAUGCAUGUUUUUGAAUCUGACAUGCAUAGUUACAUGUCCAAUGGAAAACAUUAUACAUGGCAUGCUUAGCUAGCUUUUCCUUGAAAUCUUACAUAGAUACUUAAUUACAAUAUUAAUUUUCAGAUCCGUCUGAGAAAGACAAUCUACAAGACAAACCUAUACACAGAGAAACAAAGAUACAAAGAUAGCAUUGGCACUCAAACAAACAUUAAUUACAAGAAUCUAGCUAUAAACGAAAGAAAAAUCAUCGAUGAGGCCUGUAUUACGCUUUAAUCGGAGAGCAACUGUUGAACAAGAACUGAAAUCAGAGUCGUGGGAUCUCCAAACAAAGCAGAAAUAAUAAGCAUGAUAGCUUUCUUUGCCUUUCCCCAUAUUUUCUUGGCCUUGCAUGAACUUUUCCCACUUGAGAGUUCUAGUUCUCUACUUGGGAUGGCACUUUGAAGUGCUAGGUAAUUAUCCGUCUCAUUCACGUUGCCAUCUUGAAGGAAAUAACCCUUCUUCCACUUAUUCAAGAUCAUGUCCUUCACACAAGCUACAUGGUAACAAUAUUGACCACAGGAAGAAACAUAGGACCAGCCUUUGAUUCCGUUCGAAGUUUUCCUGCUUCCACAGUUUAAGCAUUUCGAUGGCAGCUUCUCCCUCAGGUGUAACCUCGUGCCAUCUUCAGCUGUUAAGGUACGCUGGAGCUUUAAACAGCUGGGAUGGUAAUCGUGUGGCUUCUUAUGUUUGCACUGGUACACGAACCCUAAUACAUCUUGUCCACAAGCAUCACAGAAUCUUCCACCCUCUUGCGG